Molecule: ribosomal RNA, 1047 nt
Filed under: Salmonella enterica
Lineage: Bacteria; Pseudomonadati; Pseudomonadota; Gammaproteobacteria; Enterobacterales; Enterobacteriaceae
Description: partial 23S ribosomal RNA
Rfam family: Bacterial large subunit ribosomal RNA
Source: RNAcentral
UGUGUGUUAGUGGAAGCGUCUGGAAAGGCGCGCGAUACAGGGUGACAGCCCCGUACACAAAAGCGCAUGUGCUGUGAGCUCGAUGAGUAGGGCGGGACACGUGGUAUCCUGUCUGAAUAUGGGGGGACCAUCCUCCAAGGCUAAAUACUCCUGACUGACCGAUAGUGAACCAGUACCGUGAGGGAAAGGCGAAAAGAACCCCGGCGAGGGGAGUGAAAAAGAACCUGAAACCGUGUACGUACAAGCAGUGGGAGCACAGGUUUACCUGUGUGACUGCGUACCUUUUGUAUAAUGGGUCAGCGACUUAUAUUCUGUAGCAAGGUUAACCGAAUAGGGGAGCCGGAGGGAAACCGAGUCUUAAUUGGGCGUUAAGUUGCAGGGUAUAGACCCGAAACCCGGUGAUCUAGCCAUGGGCAGGUUGAAGGUUGGGUAACACUAACUGGAGGACCGAACCGACUAAUGUUGAAAAAUUAGCGGAUGACCUGUGGCUGGGGGUGAAAGGCCAAUCAAACCGGGAGAUAGCUGGUUCUCCCCGAAAGCUAUUUAGGUAGCGCCUCGUGAAUUCAUCUCCGGGGGUAGAGCACUGUUUCGGCUAGGGGGCCAUCCCGGCUUACCAACCCGAUGCAAACUGCGAAUACCGGAGAAUGUUAUCACGGGAGACACACGGCGGGUGCUAACGUCCGUCGUGAAGAGGGAAACAACCCAGACCGCCAGCUAAGGUCCCAAAGUCAUGGUUAAGUGGGAAACGAUGUGGGAAGGCCCAGACAGCCAGGAUGUUGGCUUAGAAGCAGCCAUCAUUUAAAGAAAGCGUAAUAGCUCACUGGUCGAGUCGGCCUGCGCGGAAGAUGUAACGGGGCUAAACCAUGCACCGAAGCUGCGGCAGCGACGCUUAUGCGUUGUUGGGUAGGGGAGCGUUCUGUAAGCCUGUGAAGGUGGCCUGUGAGGGUUGCUGGAGGUAUCAGAAGUGCGAAUGCUGACAUAAGUAACGAUAAAGCGGGUGAAAAGCCCGCUCGCCGGAAGACCAAGGGUUCCUGUCCAACGUUAAUC